RNAcentral lists this ribosomal RNA (1491 nucleotides) under metagenome. RNAcentral describes it as "bacterial LSU rRNA". It matches the Rfam family "Bacterial large subunit ribosomal RNA", at positions 1453 to 2925 of the family's 2925-position model. The record is from RNAcentral.
UUCGGGAAGCUGUAGGGGGACGCAGGAAGGUAGAUGAACCCGGUGAAUGGUAGAACCGGGGUAAGCGUGUAGGAGGAGGACCAGGUAAAUCCGGGCCUCAUAAACUCUGAGACGUGAUACCGAGCCGCUUCAGGCGAAGUCAUUGAUCCUAUGCUGCCUAGAAAAGCCCAGCAGCGAGUUGACAUGGUGCCCGUACCCCAAACCAGCACAGGUGGACAGGUAGAGCAUACCAAGGCGAGUGGGAUAACUAUGGUUAAGGAACUCGGCAAAUUGCCUCCGUAACUUCGGGAGAAGGAGGACCCCAGCAGCGUGAUGAGACUUGCUCUCUGAGCGUGAAGGGGUGGCACAAAAUUGAGGGAAGCGACUGUUUACCAAAAACACAGCAGCGUGCUAAGCCGUAAGGCGCUGUAUACGCUGUGACUCCUGCCCGGUGCUGGAAGGUUACGGGGAUGGGUUAGUCCUUCGGGACGAAGCUCUGAACCUAAGCCCCAGUAAACGGCGGCCGUAACUAUAACGGUCCUAAGGUAGCGAAAUUCCUUGUCGGGUAAGUUCCGACCUGCACGAAUGGAGUAACGACUUCCCUACUGUCUCAACCAUAGACCCAGCGAAAUUGAAGUACGAGUAAAGAUGCUCGUUAGCUGCAGAAGGACGGAAAGACCCCGUGGACCUUUACUAUAACUUGAUGUUGUGUUUUGUCAUAUGUUGUGUAGGAUAGGUGGGAGACUUGGAAGCAUGGACGCUAGUCUGUGUGGAGUCAUCGUUGAAAUACCACCCUGCAUAUGGUGAGGCUCUAACCUAGACCCGUUAUCCGGGUUGGGGACAGCGUCAGGCGGGUAGUUUAACUGGGGCGGUUGCCUCCUAAAGAGUAACGGAGGCGCCCAAAGGUUCCCUCAGCCUGGUUGGCAAUCAGGCGUUGAGUGCAAUGGCAAAAGGGAGCUUGACUGCGAGACCUACAAGUCGAGCAGGAGCGAAAGCUGGGCAUAGUGAUCCGGCGGUUGCGUGUGGAAGCGCCGUCGCUCAACGGAUAAAAGGUACCCCGGGGAUAACAGGCUAAUCUUGCCCAAGCGUCCAUAGCGACGGCAAGGUCUGGCACCUCGAUGUCGGCUCAUCGCAUCCUGGGGCUGAAGCAGGUCCCAAGGGUUGGGCUGUUCGCCCAUUAAAGCGGUACGCGAGCUGGGUUCAGAACGUCGUGAGACAGUUCGGUCCCUAUCCUCUGCAGCCGGAGGUGAAUUGAGGAAAGCUGUCCCUAGUACGAGAGGACCGGGACGGACGCAGCUCUCGUGUGCCAGUUGUCCUGCCAAGGGCAUGGCUGGUUAGCGACCUGCGGAAAGGAUAACCGCUGAAAGCAUCUAAGCGGGAAGCCUCUUCCAAGAUGAAUUCACCCACAGGGUUAACCUGGUAAGGCCCGUGGUAGACCACCACGUUGAUAGGCCGGAAGUGUAAGCGUGGCAACACGUUCAGCUGACCGGUACUAAUCGGCCGAGGGCUUGA